UCGAGAAUUUUUCACAAUGGGCGAAAGCCUGAUGGAGCGACGCCGCGUGGGGGAUGAAGGGCUUCGGCCCGUAAACCCCUGUCAUUUGCGAACAAUGCUCUGGUGUGAACAGCGCCAGAGUUGAUGGUAGCGAAAGAGGAAGGGACGGCUAACUCUGUGCCAGCAGCCGCGGUAAUACAGAGGUCCCAAGCGUUGUUCGGAUUCACUGGGCGUAAAGGGUGCGUAGGUGGUGAGGUAAGUCGGAUGUGAAAUCUCGGAGCUUAACUCCGAAAUGGCAUUGGAUACUACCUUGCUUGAGGAUUGGAGGGGGGACUGGAAUUCUCGGUGUAGCAGUGAAAUGCGUAGAUAUCGAGAGGAACACCAGUGGCGAAGGCGAGUCCCUAGACAAUUCCUGACGCUGAGGCACGAAAGCUAGGGGAGCAAACAGG
This 428-nucleotide ribosomal RNA is filed under the name uncultured prokaryote. Its description in RNAcentral is "bacterial SSU rRNA". It matches the Rfam family "Bacterial small subunit ribosomal RNA", at positions 355 to 776 of the family's 1533-position model. RNAcentral also lists the same sequence under 1 other name. The record is from RNAcentral.